This is a long non-coding RNA of Populus trichocarpa (black cottonwood), 1501 nucleotides long. RefSeq lists it as uncharacterized. The transcript has 2 exons. The record is from RefSeq and is a predicted model, not a curated record. NCBI's taxonomy places the organism in Eukaryota, Viridiplantae, Streptophyta, Magnoliopsida, Malpighiales, Salicaceae.
AAAACCCUAGCUUUCAAUUUCUCAUCAACACAUUAUAAAUACCACAAUAAUAAACCUCACUCUCUGGCCGUUUGUGGCGAUUAGGGUUCAGUACAAAUUCCUCAUUGUUCUCUCCGCCGUCUAUUCCACUCUCUUUAGCAAUCGCCACCGCUCCCUCCUCAGGUGAUGAUAAAAUAGACAGGGACAUCAGCUACUCCUUUUUUAGGGAGGAUGAUGACUAAGUCUAAAAUGGGAAUCUCUCUGAUGCAUUUUUCAUAGAUUAAAAACUGUGAAUUUAGUGUUUUUUUUCUGUAUAUAUAAUUGAAUUGGUUUUUGUGCAAAUGAUGAUAAAAUAGACAGGGACAUCAGCUACUCCUUUUUUAGGGAGGAUGAUGACUAAGUCUAAAAUGGGAAUCUCUCUGAUGCAUUUUUCAUAGAUUAAAAACAGUGAAUUUAGUGUUUUUUUUCUGUAUAUAUAAUUGAAUUGGUUUUUGUGCAAAUGAUGAUAAAACAGACAGGGACAUCAGCCACUCCAAUUGAAAUUGGAGAAUGUUGACUAUGUCUAAAUGGGAAUCUCUCUGAUGCAAAAAUCAGUUUUUUGGCGAUUAUUGUUUGAUUUUAGUGUUGGAGAAAUGCUAUAGACAGCGGUGGUUAUCUAUGUUUCUGCAUUUGGGCUUGUUUAUGCAAAUCACUUAUGUCCACAGCGUUCAAGUGGUUAUGUUAUCUGCAUGGAUGGUUUCGAUGCAUGACCUUGGAUGGUUGCGGCUGUGUUUUGGAAAACAUCGUUUUGAAAACUGCUUUGUUUUAUUGAUUUGAUUUAUGUAGCUGUUCGUAAUGGUAUGUAGGUUGUCUUGCAUUCUAAACAGCCUUUUGUUUUGCAAAAUGGUACCGCCUCAGUUUCUGUAAAAUUUCUUUCUUAUUUCUUUCCUGGAUGAAUAGCAUAGAUGAAUGAUCUGCCAGUGAUGCAAUCAUAAUUCACGUAUUAUCAGAUAUGAAGAUGAUGAUGAUACAUGAUUGUCACUACCUCUGAGGCAAAGCUAUUAUCUUGUCCCCACAAUGCUUCUUGUGCUACUCUGUGGGAGAAUUUUCCCUCGAACAGUUUUUUUUUUUUUUUGAAUUCCCUGAUUUUCUAAUGUUAAUGUUUUCCCAUGUGGUUUGGUCUCAUGCGUUGGACGUGUCUAGUAGUGACAAGGCCUGAUGAUUAUAUUACAAGAACGGAGAUAUGAAUGGUGCCAGUUGUUGUAGCCUGAAUAUAUAUUAUUGGGCUCCGGCGGCACCUCAUGUAAAAAACUACUGUGGUUGAAAAUGAGGGCUUUUCCAACCUUUUGAGGCUGCCGAUUGAUUCCCAAAUACGGGAUAGUACAAUCUUGAGACCACAUCGCUCUUGCUGAUUUUAAUAUUUAUUGCCAAAAACUUAUACGGGGGUGGCAUAGAGUAAUUGUUUAAUCAAAUUGGUGGUUGCAAAAUCUGUUUCUGUUAAGAUAUAAAUAAUAUAAUGGUUCCCAGAACUUUUGUGGUUGCA